This 817-nucleotide ribosomal RNA is filed under the name Dietzia sp. Its description in RNAcentral is "bacterial SSU rRNA". It matches the Rfam family "Bacterial small subunit ribosomal RNA", at positions 56 to 889 of the family's 1533-position model. The record is from RNAcentral. Lineage: Bacteria; Bacillati; Actinomycetota; Actinomycetes; Mycobacteriales; Dietziaceae.
UGCAGUCGAACGGUAAGGCCCCUUCGGGGGUACACGAGUGGCGAACGGGUGAGUAACACGUGGGUAAUCUGCCCUGCACUUCGGGAUAAGCCUGGGAAACUGGGUCUAAUACCGGAUAUGAACUCCUGCCGCAUGGUGGGGGUUGGAAAGUUUUUCGGUGCAGGAUGAGCCCGCGGCCUAUCAGCUUGUUGGUGGGGUAAUGGCCUACCAAGGCGACGACGGGUAGCCGGCCUGAGAGGGUGAUCGGCCACACUGGGACUGAGACACGGCCCAGACUCCUACGGGAGGCAGCAGUGGGGAAUAUUGCACAAUGGGCGAAAGCCUGAUGCAGCGACGCCGCGUGGGGGAUGACGGUCUUCGGAUUGUAAACCCCUUUCAGUAGGGACGAAGCGCAAGUGACGGUACCUGCAGAAGAAGCACCGGCUAACUACGUGCCAGCAGCCGCGGUAAUACGUAGGGUGCGAGCGUUGUCCGGAAUUACUGGGCGUAAAGAGCUCGUAGGCGGUUUGUCACGUCGUCUGUGAAAUCCCUCGGCUUAACCGGGGGCGUGCAGGCGAUACGGGCAGACUUGAGUACUACAGGGGAGACUGGAAUUCCUGGUGUAGCGGUGAAAUGCGCAGAUAUCAGGAGGAACACCGGUGGCGAAGGCGGGUCUCUGGGUAGUAACUGACGCUGAGGAGCGAAAGCAUGGGUAGCGAACAGGAUUAGAUACCCUGGUAGUCCAUGCCGUAAACGGUGGGCGCUAGGUGUGGGGUCCUUCCACGGACUCCGUGCCGUAGCUAACGCAUUAAGCGCCCCGCCUGGGGAGUACGGCCGC